UAAAAUUAUUUUCUUCAGCAAUUUAAUAGAAAACGUAAUUAAAUGAUUUGUCAUGAGGAAAAUAAAGUCAGUAAUUAUGAUUUUACGAGACACGUCAUUAUAAUUUAGCUGAUUACAAUUAUAUUCCAUUAAAUACUGCAUCGGAAAGAGCGGUCGCUUGAAUAUGAAAAAUUAUAUGGCAGUUUUAACCCUGCUGUUGCUAUUAAGUGAGUUUUCAACGAGGACCACUAGACGAUGGACCACGAAGAGACCACUUGAGCAGAUCCUGCCACCGCUGGACAGAACUGUGCCUUGUGACAAAUGCCCUAACGUUUAUUUUCCUGUGUGCACGACCACUAACGAAACUUUCAUCAAUAUAUGCCAAAUGAAUUGUCAAAGGAAAAACCUUAAAGUUGCCAGGCGAGGCAUUUGCAUAGACUUCUGAAAGUUUUUAAGUUUUUAUACGAAUUUUGAAACUGUCUUUCAUGUUUGCUGCU
This 476-nucleotide unclassified non-coding RNA is filed under the name Melitaea cinxia (Glanville fritillary). RNAcentral describes it as "misc RNA ENSMCXG00005001192.1". Lineage: Eukaryota; Metazoa; Arthropoda; Insecta; Lepidoptera; Nymphalidae. The record is from RNAcentral.